AUUGAACGCUGGCGGCAGGCCUAACACAUGCAAGUCGAGCGGGAUUUACCUCCGGGUAAUGAGAGCGGCGGACGGGUGAGUAAUGCUUGGGAAUCUACCUAGUAGUGGGGGACAACAGUUGGAAACGACUGCUAAUACCGCAUACGCCCUACGGGGGAAAGGGGGGGAUCUUCGGACCUCUUGCUAUUAGAUGAGCCCAAGUCGGAUUAGCUAGUUGGUGGGGUAAAGGCCUACCAAGGCGACGAUCCGUAGCUGGUUUGAGAGGAUGAUCAGCCACACUGGGACUGAGACACGGCCCAGACUCCUACGGGAGGCAGCAGUGGGGAAUAUUGGACAAUGGGCGCAUGCCUGAUCCAGCCAUGCCGCGUGUGUGAAGAAGGCCCUAGGGUUGUAAAGCACUUUAAGUAGGGAGGAAGGUCUGGUAAUUAAUACUUAUCAGGAUUGACGUUACCUACAGAAUAAGCACCGGCUAACUACGUGCCAGCAGCCGCGGUAA
Molecule: ribosomal RNA, 496 nt
Filed under: uncultured bacterium
Lineage: Bacteria
Description: partial 16S ribosomal RNA
Rfam family: Bacterial small subunit ribosomal RNA
Source: RNAcentral